AUGGGAUCAUGGAAUCAUGGACUAAUGGGAUCAUGGAAUCAUGGGAUCAUAGAAUAAUGGAAUAAUGGAAUAAUAGAAUCUUAGACUGGCUUGGUUUGGGAGGGACCUUAGAGCUUAUCUGUGGGCAGGAACACUUCCACUAUCCCAGAGACACUUCCACUAUCCCAGAGACACUUCCACUAUCCCAGGACACUUCCACUAUCCCAGGGACAUUUCCACUAUCCAAGGAACACUUCCACUAUCCCUGGCCUUGGACAUUUCCAGGGUUGGGUGAGUCCAGAACCCCUCAGAGCAACCUGGGCCUCACAGAAUUCCCUCCCAAAUCCCAUCCAACCCUGCCUGUUCCACUUGGAAGCCAUUCCCCCUCCUCCUGUGUCUGCCCAAGAGCCUGAAUUGGUUCACACACAAUUAUUGUGCAGGUGAGGAGGUGCUGAGGAGACAAAAAGCAUCGAGGCAGAGUUUUUAUAAGGAAUUGUUGAGUUUCUCCUCAGGGUCUGUGCAUCUGCCAUCGUGCAGGGCCCACCAGUGAGUUCCAAAUGACAUCUGAUGUAAUUCCUGAGUCAAAAAGAUAACAAAAGGCCGGUGUUGAGUCAGAAGACCAGAACUAAAAACUCCCUGAACUCACACACUUAUUGCUAAACCAGCCCAGACAAUUACAAAUGACAAAGCAGAAAAUGUUUGAAUGUUCAUUUCCAGAUUUCUCCUAUCGAGGCAAACCACACAUUCCUCUUUGGCAGAUGCCAAAUGUGAGGAUUUAAAGGAAAUGUUCCUGGAGUUA
Ficedula albicollis (Collared flycatcher) is the source of this 778-nucleotide long non-coding RNA. Lineage: Eukaryota; Metazoa; Chordata; Aves; Passeriformes; Muscicapidae. The record is from Ensembl.